Molecule: long non-coding RNA, 1260 nt
Filed under: Mus musculus (house mouse)
Lineage: Eukaryota; Metazoa; Chordata; Mammalia; Rodentia; Muridae
Description: long non-coding RNA chr6:38567409-38568669
Source: RNAcentral
UAGGUUUUAUUCUAUGAUUAAGAUCUAUUAUCAUUGACGGGGCAGUUUCUCCCAUUAUUAGUUCUUUCAAACAUUUGAGAAUUUAUUAGGGGGAUUAACUCAGAUUUUUUUUUUUUUUUGGGUAUGACUCAGUGACAAGGAAAUACACAUAAAGCAUGUUUGAUAAAAUCCUACAUUAUAAGGAUAUUUUAUAUAUAUUCACUGCCUAUUUCCAGUCUCUUUUUUUUCUCCCCCCAUUUAAGGAUACUAUUUACCUUGUUUCUUUUGAAAAACAUGGUUUGGGCCAGAUACCAUGACAGAAAUAAAAAUUACAAACAUUUCUGUUUCAGAAGUAUGUAGUUAAAUUAUACUUAAUGUCAUAAGCCCAAAUUUAUUCAAAUGCUGAAUGAUUUUGUAAUUUUGUAGCCAAAUUGUUUUAAAAAUGCGUAAGCAUAAAGUCUCCCUAAAUAGAACCUGAAGUAUCAAUAGACAUUCACUUGCAAGUCCCUCAUUGUUAUAUCUUGUACUGUUAGUUUUAUUAUUUUGUUAAAAAGAUUUUUAUAAUGGCUAAUAUCUGAAAGCUAUAUUUGAUAUUUUUGCUAUAGUUUUCAAAUAAAUGUUUAUGGAAUACCUAUAAGUGAGGUACUUUAGGUGAUUUUUUUUGGCAUUUAUAGAUAUAGAUUCCUUCAUUAUUUUAAAGCUCACCAAGGUUAUUCUAUAUUUGUAAUUAUUAAUGCUUUAUCUGAUAAUAUCAUCAGGGCAUGUAUACCUUAUAUUUAAUGUGAUUUUUUUAAGCAUUGAUGUUUGAUUAUUAAAACUUCCAUAAAUAUUAACUUUAUUCUAAGACCUCCGUUAAAUAUAAUCCUUAUUCCCAUGAGCUAUGUUUUGUAAUUGAUUGAACUGACACUGCUGCUUCAUUACCAAAAAGCUUAGAUCAUUUGUAAUAGGGCCAGUACGAAAUUUGUAAGUGCCCCUUAACCCCUAAAAAUUUAUCACUUUUAAAGUUCUUCACAUAAUCAUGUUUUGAAGUCUUUCUGUGGUCAAAAAGCUUCUACUGUAUUUUUUGCUUUCUGGUGUGAGCUUGUGAUAGUUUGGUUCUGAUAAGAACUUGAGGCACUCACUAGUCUUCAUUGAAACAUAUUUUAAAGAAAUAUUUCUUACCUAGUCUAAGGGCCACUUUUAGAGCUCCAGUCUUGGGCUUUUGUUAUCUCCAGUCACAAUUUUCUCUGGGCUUAUACUUGUUAAAUCAGUAUUGUUAAAAAAAAAAACAAAAACAAAAUC